RNAcentral lists this ribosomal RNA (253 nucleotides) under uncultured bacterium. RNAcentral describes it as "partial 16S ribosomal RNA". It matches the Rfam family "Bacterial small subunit ribosomal RNA", at positions 524 to 776 of the family's 1533-position model. The record is from RNAcentral.
UACAGAGGGUGCGAGCGUUAAUCGGAAUUACUGGGCGUAAAGCGCACGUAGGUGGCUUGGCAAGUCGGGUGUGAAAUCCCCGGGCUCAACCUGGGAACUGCAUUCGAGACUGCCUUGCUCGAGUAUGGGAGAGGGAAGUGGAAUUUCCGGUGUAGCGGUGAAAUGCGUAGAUAUCGGAAGGAACAUCAGUGGCGAAGGCGACUUCCUGGACCAAUACUGACACUCAGGUGCGAAAGCGUGGGGAGCAAACAGG